RNAcentral lists this unclassified non-coding RNA (234 nucleotides) under Hevea brasiliensis (rubber tree). The record is from RNAcentral. Lineage: Eukaryota; Viridiplantae; Streptophyta; Magnoliopsida; Malpighiales; Euphorbiaceae.
GUUCUGAAAUUCGUAUAAAGGGUAAUGAUUAUUCAUCAGGUGUACGACAAUUUGAGGGAUAUUUCUAUGUGCCAAGUGGUUCAUCUGGUGUGUCAAUAAUGCAAGUAUUUGGAGCCUCACCAUCAUCCACAACUUUAAUGUUGAGAGUUUAUGAUGGAACACUCUAUUACUAUAGAGAAAAAGUGAUUGAAUCAAAUAUUUAUAAUAGAUGGAUUAGAUUAAAUGUGAUUCAUG